Molecule: ribosomal RNA, 730 nt
Filed under: uncultured bacterium
Lineage: Bacteria
Description: bacterial SSU rRNA
Rfam family: Bacterial small subunit ribosomal RNA
Source: RNAcentral
AACAGGAUUAGAUACCCUGGUAGUCCACGCCGUAAACGAUGUCGACUUGGAGGUUGUGCCCUUGAGGCGUGGCUUCCGGAGCUAACGCGUUAAGUCGGCCGCCUGGGGAGUACGGCCGCAAGGUUAAAACUCAAAUGAAUUGACGGGGGCCCGCACAAGCGGUGGAGCAUGUGGUUUAAUUCGAUGCAACGCGAAGAACCUUACCUGGCCUUGACAUCCAGAGAACUUAGCAGAGAUGCUUUGGUGCCUUCGGGAACUCUGAGACAGGUGCUGCAUGGCUGUCGUCAGCUCGUGUUGUGAAAUGUUGGGUUAAGUCCCGCAACGAGCGCAACCCUUAUCCUUUGUUGCCAGCGAUUCGGUCGGGAACUCAAAGGAGACUGCCGGUGAUAAACCGGAGGAAGGUGGGGAUGACGUCAAGUCAUCAUGGCCCUUACGGCCAGGGCUACACACGUGCUACAAUGGCGCAUACAAAGAGAAGCGACCUCGCGAGAGCAAGCGGACCUCAUAAAGUGCGUCGUAGUCCGGAUCGGAGUCUGCAACUCGACUCCGUGAAGUCGGAAUCGCUAGUAAUCGUAGAUCAGAAUGCUACGGUGAAUACGUUCCCGGGCCUUGUACACACCGCCCGUCACACCAUGGGAGUGGGUUGCAAAAGAAGUAGGUAGCUUAACCUUCGGGAGGGCGCUUACCACUUUGUGAUUCAUGACUGGGGUGAAGUCGUAACAAGGUAACC